This 253-nucleotide ribosomal RNA is filed under the name uncultured prokaryote. Its description in RNAcentral is "partial 16S ribosomal RNA". It matches the Rfam family "Bacterial small subunit ribosomal RNA", at positions 525 to 777 of the family's 1533-position model. The record is from RNAcentral.
ACGAAGGGUGCAAGCGUUAAUCGGAAUUACUGGGCGUAAAGGGUGCGUAGACGGUUUGUUAAGUCGGAUGUGAAAGCCCCGGGCUCAACCUGGGAACUGCAUCCGAAACUGGCAGGCUAGAGUGCGAUAGAGGAUGGUGGAAUUCCCGGUGUAGCGGUGAAAUGCGUAGAGAUCGGGAGGAAGGCCGGUGGCGAAGGCGGCGCUCUGGAACAUUUCUGACGCUGAGGCUCGAAAGCGUGGGGAGCAAACAGGA